This 400-nucleotide ribosomal RNA is filed under the name uncultured bacterium. RNAcentral's name for it is "bacterial SSU rRNA". It matches the Rfam family "Bacterial small subunit ribosomal RNA", at positions 356 to 773 of the family's 1533-position model. The record is from RNAcentral.
GGGGAAUAUUGGACAAUGGGCGAAAGCCUGAUCCAGCCAUGCCGCGUGAGUGAUGAAGGCCCUAGGGUUGUAAAGCUCUUUCAGUGGGGAAGAUAAUGACGGUACCCACAGAAGAAGCCCCGGCUAACUUCGUGCCAGCAGCCGCGGUAAUACGAAGGGGGCUAGCGUUGUUCGGAAUUACUGGGCGUAAAGCGCACGUAGGCGGAUCUUUAAGUCAGGGGUGAAAUCCCGGGGCUCAACCCCGGAACAGCCUCUGAUACUGGGGAUCUCGAGUCCGAGAGAGGUGAGUGGAAUUCCGAGUGUAGAGGUGAAAUUCGUAGAUAUUCGGAGGAACACCAGUGGCGAAGGCGGCUCACUGGCUCGGUACUGACGCUGAGGUGCGAAAGCGUGGGGAGCAAAC